This 464-nucleotide ribosomal RNA is filed under the name Vreelandella stevensii. Its description in RNAcentral is "partial 16S ribosomal RNA". It matches the Rfam family "Bacterial small subunit ribosomal RNA", at positions 338 to 794 of the family's 1533-position model. Lineage: Bacteria; Pseudomonadati; Pseudomonadota; Gammaproteobacteria; Oceanospirillales; Halomonadaceae. The record is from RNAcentral.
CCUACGGGGCGCUGCAGUGGGGAAUAUUGGACAAUGGGCGAAAGCCUGAUCCAGCCAUGCCGCGUGUGUGAAGAAGGCCUUCGGGUUGUAAAGCACUUUCAGUGGGGAAGAAAGCCUUGGGGCUAAUACCCUCGAGGAAGGACAUCACCCACAGAAGAAGCACCGGCUAACUCCGUGCCAGCAGCCGCGGUAAUACGGAGGGUGCGAGCGUUAAUCGGAAUUACUGGGCGUAAAGCGCGCGUAGGCGGUCUGAUAAGCCGGUUGUGAAAGCCCCGGGCUCAACCUGGGAACGGCAUCCGGAACUGUCAGGCUAGAGUGCAGGAGAGGAAGGUAGAAUUCCCGGUGUAGCGGUGAAAUGCGUAGAGAUCGGGAGGAAUACCAGUGGCGAAGGCGGCCUUCUGGACUGACACUGACGCUGAGGUGCGAAAGCGUGGGUAGCAAACAGGAUUAGAUACCCCUGUAUC